AUUGAACGCUGGCGGCAUGCCUUACACAUGCAAGUCGAACGGCAGCACGGGAGCAAUCCUGGUGGCGAGUGGCGAACGGGUGAGUAAUAUAUCGGAACGUGCCCAGUCGUGGGGGAUAACGUAGCGAAAGCUACGCUAAUACCGCAUACGAUCUAUGGAUGAAAGCGGGGGAUCGCAAGGACCUCGCGCGAUUGGAGCGGCCGAUAUCAGAUUAGGUAGUUGGUGAGGUAAAGGCUCGCCAAGCCGACGAUCUGUAGCUGGUCUGAGAGGACGACAGCCACACUGGACUGAGACACGGCCCAG
Molecule: ribosomal RNA, 303 nt
Filed under: uncultured bacterium
Lineage: Bacteria
Description: bacterial SSU rRNA
Rfam family: Bacterial small subunit ribosomal RNA
Source: RNAcentral